RNAcentral lists this ribosomal RNA (913 nucleotides) under uncultured bacterium. RNAcentral's name for it is "bacterial SSU rRNA". It matches the Rfam family "Bacterial small subunit ribosomal RNA", at positions 8 to 916 of the family's 1533-position model. The record is from RNAcentral.
AGAGUUUGAUCAUGGCUCAGAUUGAACGCUGGCGGCAUGCUUUACACAUGCAAGUCGAGCGGCAGCGCGGGGGCAACCCUGGCGGCGAGCGGCGAACGGGUGAGUAACACAUCGGAACGUGUCCUGUGGUGGGGGAUAACCUGGCGAAAGCCAGGCUAAUACCGCAUGAGCUCGAAAGAGGAAAGCGGGGGAUCGCAAGAGCCUCGCGCGACAGGAGCGGCCGAUGUCCGAUUAGCUAGUUGGUGGGGUAAAGGCCCACCAAGGCGACGAUCGGUAGCUGGUCUGAGAGGAUGAUCAGCCACACUGGGACUGAGACACGGCCCAGACUCCUACGGGAGGCAGCAGUGGGGAAUUUUGGACAAUGGGGGCAACCCUGAUCCAGCCACGCCGCGUGCGGGAAGAAGGCCUUCGGGUUGUAAACCGCUUUUAGCCGGGAAGAAAAGGCACGGGUGAAUACCCCGUGUUCUUGACGGUACCGGCGGAAUAAGCACCGGCUAACUACGUGCCAGCAGCCGCGGUAAUACGUAGGGUGCGAGCGUUAAUCGGAAUUACUGGGCGUAAAGCGUGCGUAGGCGGUUUGCCGUGUCCUGUGUGAAAGCCCCGGGCUCAACCUGGGAAUUGCAUGGGAAACUGGCAGGCUUGAGUGUGGCAGAGGAGGGUGGAAUUCCGCGUGUAGCAGUGAAAUGCGUAGAGAUGCGGAGGAACACCGAUGGCGAAGGCAGCCCUCUGGGCCAACACUGACGCUCAGGCACGAAAGCGUGGGGAGCAAACAGGAUUAGAUACCCUGGUAGUCCACGCCCUAAACGAUGUCGACUAGGUGUUGGGGAAGCGAUUCCUUGGUACCGUAGCUAACGCGUGAAGUCGACCGCCUGGGGAGUACGGCCGCAAGGUUAAAACUCAAAGGAAUUGACGG